RNAcentral lists this small nuclear RNA (107 nucleotides) under Myotis brandtii (Brandt's bat). Lineage: Eukaryota; Metazoa; Chordata; Mammalia; Chiroptera; Vespertilionidae. The record is from RNAcentral.
GGGCUCACCUUGGCAGCACAUAUACUAAAAUUGGAAAGAUACAGAGACGAUUAGCAUGGCCCCUGGGCAAAGAUGACACACAAAUUUGUGAAGCAUUCUAUAUAUUU